Molecule: transfer RNA, 75 nt
Filed under: Alteromonadaceae bacterium
Lineage: Bacteria; Pseudomonadati; Pseudomonadota; Gammaproteobacteria; Alteromonadales; Alteromonadaceae
Also listed under: 4 other names
Description: tRNA-Cys
Rfam family: tRNA
About the family: Transfer RNA (tRNA) molecules are approximately 80 nucleotides in length. Their secondary structure includes four short double-helical elements and three loops (D, anti-codon, and T loops).
Source: RNAcentral
GGCGCUGUGGCAGAAUGGCGAUGCAGCGGAUUGCAAAUCCGUACUAUUCCGGUUCGAAUCCGGUCGGCGCCUCCA